UAGGACUUAAAAAUAACAUAAGCAGAAAAAACAAUUUAUUGGCUUAUCCAAUUCAAAGGAGAGAAAAAAAGGAUGGAGUUGACUUCAUUUUUCACUGGAUCUAAAAGCUUGAAGAGAAUCAUGACUCUGCCCAUCUUUAUCCUAGUUUUGGUUUUACUCUCUUAGGAGCCUCAGUGUAUCAAGGAAUAAGAUAGCUAGCAGUUCUAGGGCUCCAUCCGUACAACUCCUGAUCAAGAGAGUACUUUACUUCCAAAUACCGAAGAUUUCAAGCAAAGGGUGUGGCUGUCCUGGCUUUGGUCAUUAUUCUUCAGCUAGGAAGAAGUUGUGUUAUAGCCUGGAUCUCAUGCCCUACCUCCUUGUGAAGAAGGCCUUAGAGUGGGGCUGGGAGCUCGGUACUGCUAUUAGCAAGAAAGGGAAAGAGAGAUUGGGCAGAUAGACAUAACAAGUGUGCACUGACUUGAUUCAUGAGCUUGCUUAUUAACUGAAUUCUAACAGUAAGGUGUUGUGGCUCUUUUUCAGUAUAUAGAG
RNAcentral lists this long non-coding RNA (528 nucleotides) under Bos taurus (domestic cattle). RNAcentral describes it as "long non-coding RNA NONBTAT018242". Lineage: Eukaryota; Metazoa; Chordata; Mammalia; Artiodactyla; Bovidae. The record is from RNAcentral.